GGGCCGGUCGUCUAGUUUGGUAGGAUAGUCCCUUGGCAUGGGACAGGUCGGGGGUCCGAGUCCCCCCCGGUCCA
Molecule: transfer RNA, 74 nt
Filed under: Nitrososphaerota archaeon
Lineage: Archaea; Thermoproteati; Nitrososphaerota
Description: Thaumarchaeota archaeon tRNA-Ala
Rfam family: tRNA
About the family: Transfer RNA (tRNA) molecules are approximately 80 nucleotides in length.
Source: RNAcentral